CCUACGGGAGGCAGCAGUGGGGAAUUUUGGACAAUGGGCGCAAGCCUGAUCCAGCCAUGCCGCGUGCGGGAAGAAGGCCUUCGGGUUGUAAACCGCUUUUGUCAGGGAAGAAAUCCUUUGAGCUAACACCUCGGGGGGAUGACGGUACCUGAAGAAUAAGCACCGGCUAACUACGUGCCAGCAGCCGCGGUAAUACGUAGGGUGCGAGCGUUAAUCGGAAUUACUGGGCGUAAAGCGUGCGCAGGCGGUCUUGCAAGACAGGUGUGAAAUCCCCGGGCUUAACCUGGGAACUGCACUUGUGACUGCAAGGCUGGUGUACGGCAGAGGGGGAUGGAAUUCCGCGUGUAGCAGUGAAAUGCGUAGAUAUGCGGAGGAACACCGAUGGCGAAGGCAAUCCCCUGGGCCUGUACUGACGCUCAUGCACGAAAGCGUGGGGAGCAAACAGGAUUAGAUACCCUGGUAGUCCACGCCCUAAACGAUGUCAACUGGUUGUUGGACGGCUUGCUGUUCAGUAACGAAGCUAACGNGUGAGUUGACCGCGUGGGGAGGUACGGCCGCGAGGUAGAACGUACGAAGAAGUAGACGGCGUGAGAGUAGCCGACGGACGACGACGAGGGAGGAGG
This 623-nucleotide ribosomal RNA is filed under the name uncultured bacterium. RNAcentral's name for it is "bacterial SSU rRNA". The stretch from base 1 to 541 matches the Rfam family "Bacterial small subunit ribosomal RNA", at positions 338 to 873 of the family's 1533-position model. The record is from RNAcentral.